This 438-nucleotide ribosomal RNA is filed under the name uncultured bacterium. RNAcentral describes it as "bacterial SSU rRNA". It matches the Rfam family "Bacterial small subunit ribosomal RNA", at positions 958 to 1397 of the family's 1533-position model. The record is from RNAcentral.
AACGCGAAGAACCUUACCCAGGUUUGACAUGUACUUGACACCGGUAGAAAUAUCGUCUUCCGAAAGGACAAGUACACAGGUGCUGCAUGGCUGUCGUCAGCUCGUGCCGUGAGGUGUUGGGUUAAGUCCCGCAACGAGCGCAACCCUUAUCAAUAGUUGCCAGCACUUAGGGUGGGAACUCUAUUGAGACUGCCUGGGUUAACCAGGAGGAAGGUGAGGAUGACGUCAAGUCAGCAUGGCCCUUAUGUCUGGGGCGACACACGUGCUACAAUGGCCGGUACAGAAGGCAGCAAGACCGCAAGGUGGAGCAAAUCCCAAAAGCCGGCCCCAGUUCGGAUUGUAGUCUGCAACUCGACUACAUGAAGUUGGAAUUGCUAGUAAUGGCGCGUCAGCCACAGCGCCGUGAAUACGUUCCCGGGCCUUGUACACACCGCAUAC